GACGAACGCUGGCGGCGUGCUUAACACAUGCAAGUCGAACGGAAAGGCCCUGCUUUUGUGGGGUGCUCGAGUGGCGAACGGGUGAGUAACACGUGAGUAACCUGCCCUUGACUUUGGGAUAACUUCAGGAAACUGGGGCUAAUACCGGAUAGGAGCUCCUGCUGCAUGGUGGGGGUUGGAAAGUUUCGGCGGUUGGGGAUGGACUCGCGGCUUAUCAGCUUGUUGGUGGGGUAGUGGCUUACCAAGGCUUUGACGGGUAGCCGGCCUGAGAGGGUGACCGGCAACAGUGGGACUGAGAUAAGGCGGGGAGUACGCCGGGAGGGAGCAGGGGGGAAGGGGGCAGACGGGGUGGGAGUCUGAUGCCGCAAUGCCGGGGGAGGGAGGGAGGCUGUCGGGUUGGAAAAAGAAGGCGCCGGUGAAGAAGCGGGAGGGACGGGAAUGAGUAAAGAAGCAAGGGCUAACCACGCG
RNAcentral lists this ribosomal RNA (468 nucleotides) under uncultured bacterium. RNAcentral describes it as "partial 16S ribosomal RNA". It matches the Rfam family "Bacterial small subunit ribosomal RNA", at positions 28 to 507 of the family's 1533-position model. The record is from RNAcentral.